UGGGGAAUUUUGGACAAUGGGGGAAACCCUGAUCCAGCCAUCCCGCGUGUGCGAUGAAGGCCUUCGGGUUGUAAAGCACUUUUGGCAGGAAAGAAACGUCAUGGGUUAAUACCCCGUGAAACUGACGGUACCUGCAGAAUAAGCACCGGCUAACUACGUGCCAGCAGCCGCGGUAAUACGUAGGGUGCAAGCGUUAAUCGGAAUUACUGGGCGUAAAGCGUGCGCAGGCGGUUCGGAAAGAAAGAUGUGAAAUCCCAGAGCUCAACUUUGGAACUGCAUUUUUAACUACCGGGCUAGGGUGUGUCAGAGGGAGGUGGAAUUCCGCGUGUAGCAGUGAAAUGCGUAGAUAUGCGGGGGAACACCGAUGGCGAAGGCAGCCUCCUGGGAUAACACUGACGCUCAUGCACGAAAGCGUGGGGAGCAAACAGG
RNAcentral lists this ribosomal RNA (429 nucleotides) under Acidobacteriota bacterium. RNAcentral describes it as "Acidobacteria bacterium partial 16S ribosomal RNA". It matches the Rfam family "Bacterial small subunit ribosomal RNA", at positions 355 to 776 of the family's 1533-position model. Lineage: Bacteria; Pseudomonadati; Acidobacteriota. The record is from RNAcentral.